UACGAAGGGGGCUAGCGUUGCUCGGAAUGACUGGGCGUAAAGGGCGCGUAGGCGGUUUGGUUAGUUAGGCGUGAAAUUCCUGGGCUCAACCUGGGGGCUGCGCUUAAUACAGCCAGACUAGAGUGUGAAAGAGGGUCGUGGAAUUCCCAGUGUAGAGGUGAAAUUCGUAGAUAUUGGGAAGAACACCGGUGGCGAAGGCGGCGACCUGGUUCAUUACUGACGCUGAGGCGCGACAGCGUGGGGAGCAAACAGG
Molecule: ribosomal RNA, 253 nt
Filed under: uncultured bacterium
Lineage: Bacteria
Description: partial 16S ribosomal RNA
Rfam family: Bacterial small subunit ribosomal RNA
Source: RNAcentral